GUCUCAGGCCGUAUCAGCCUGAAGGCGCCCGAUCUCGUCUGAUCUCGGAAGCUAAGCAGGGUCGGGCCUGGUUAGUAUCUUGGAUGGGAGACCGACCUGGGAAUCCCGGGUGCUCGAGGCU
Ribosomal RNA from Bison bison bison, 121 nucleotides. Lineage: Eukaryota; Metazoa; Chordata; Mammalia; Artiodactyla; Bovidae. The record is from Ensembl.